This 246-nucleotide long non-coding RNA is filed under the name Erythranthe guttata (spotted monkey flower). RNAcentral describes it as "long non-coding RNA (EGUT_LNC001069)". Lineage: Eukaryota; Viridiplantae; Streptophyta; Magnoliopsida; Lamiales; Phrymaceae. The record is from RNAcentral.
AUUUACACACAGGAAUACACACAGAGAUGCAUGCGGGGACAUAAUCUAUCAGUGAAAUCUGAAUGGGUAUUGACUACUCUUUUUUACACACACACACACACACACACACACACACACUAGUUUAGAAACAAAUUUGACUCCUCUUUUCUCUCACUAGUCAGCACCACCAUCUGUCUCCUUGUCAAUUACUUCUCUCUCUUCUUCUACUUGCCAGCACCUUUUCUCUCUCUCCUCAUUUACAUUUAC